AGUUGGAAGUUGGAUCUCGACAUGUAAAUCUAAAUUUUGUGCCAGAUCUAACUCUUCCAGCUCG
This 64-nucleotide microRNA precursor is filed under the name Limulus polyphemus (Atlantic horseshoe crab). RNAcentral's name for it is "Lpo-Mir-750-P5_pre stem-loop". The record is from RNAcentral. Lineage: Eukaryota; Metazoa; Arthropoda; Merostomata; Xiphosura; Limulidae.